RNAcentral lists this transfer RNA (57 nucleotides) under Linevichella vortex. RNAcentral's name for it is "tRNA-Ser". The record is from RNAcentral. Lineage: Eukaryota; Metazoa; Arthropoda; Malacostraca; Amphipoda; Micruropodidae.
AGCCGUUAAACAAAAAACUUGGUUUGAAACCAAGUUCAGGGCUUAGCUCAACGGCUA